UAGAGAAAAAGGGAAAACAAAAAAGCUUGAAACUAAUUUGUGUGGCGUAGAAUACAGAGCGAAGAGGAACGGAGAAACAAAUACUUCAGAUUCGAUUCUGAGUACGAGCACAUCUCUGGAACGAUUUGAGUUCGAGUUUGAAGUGCUUUGGAGUUGUGGUGAGCUGCUUGGUUGUUCCGUGGCCCAAACCUCCCUCUAUAUUUUACUUAUUAUUUUAUUUAGUAUUCAGACAAGAUAUCUCUUAUGUUGGAUUGGUCAUUUUUUAGACUUGUAUUGUAUUUUAGAAAUUCUUGUACUUACGACACCAAUUCUUCGGUGGUAUUUUUAGCUUUCUGCAAAUCAUACCUAUAAAGAGCUUCAUGUUGGAGAUUUACACUUAGUGUUUACCUUUUUCUCACUAUUUAGUUAAAUUUAGUAAAUAUGUUGGGUUGGCUUACCAAUUGGUUGACAACAUAGGUGCCAUCACGACUUGUGAAUUUAGGUCAUGAAAAUUUGGAUUCCAAGCCCUAGGUUCAUCAGUCUCACGAGUACAGGAGAAAUGUCUAGUAGAGUCUUGGAGAUUGGUAUGAUGACAUCUAUACCUAUCUUUGAGAGGUUAUAGGACAUUUAGGAAAAGUUUGUUCUUUCAUUCAUUAUCGUGCACACUUGACCUUGUUGAAAUUCCAAUGUUGAUAUCUCAUUCUCUCAUAUGUCGAGGACUCGUACGUCGGCAAGUGAUGGUCAGGACUUUAUUCUUGUAACUGCUUCUAAAAGCACUAUCUGAGGUAGAGGCAAGGGACGAUCUCAAGGUCGAGGUCGGGGUAGGGUCGUAUUGCAGCACUUGUGGAAGGUCAAGUACAAAUAGCUACCCUGGGUUGUGAUAGGACCAUACCUCCUAAUGCAGAUGUUAUUCAUGGGGAUGUGCAAGAUCUUGUCGAGGGGGAUGAGACAGCUCAGGCUCUACCCAAUAUUAUUGCCACCCCAGUGCUUCAAGAUACGUUGGUUCGUAGGUUAAGAAUCCUAUAAGAUAUGGCCCAGGCAGAAACUUAGCAUGUCACGUUUGAUGGUUCGCAGACCCAUGUUGCAGGUCAAACUCUGGAUCCGAUAGUUGAUCCAGAUUCCCAGACUCCCAUGACUCAGCCAGCUGCUGUUGUAGCUCUCCAUUUGGAUAGUAUGAAAUUUCUAGGUUUUGCAUCACAUUUGGCGAACAUGUCUUCUAUGACCAUUGAUGAACAAAAGACUUUUGGAUGGUUCAGACUAAUGAAUCCUCUGACUUACACUGGUGAAUUAAUCGAGGAUGCAUAUGAAUUUAUAGUUAGAUGUCAUGAGAGGUUGCAAAAUCUUUUAUUAGUGGAGUCUCAUGGAGUUAACUACAAAGAAAUUUAGAUGACUAGAUCUGCCAAGCAGUGUUGGGGAUUAUAUUAGUAGUAUGCCAGAUGGAUCCCCUCCACUAUCAUGGACUCAGUUUACUCAGGUAUUUCUACCCAAGUUUGUUCCACGCAGUGAGAGGGAGCGUAAGAGGGCUGAGUACGAGAAUUUGCAGCAAGAUGGUAUGUUAGUAGAAGAGUAUCAGGGUAAAUUCCAUGCCUUGGCUAGUCAUGCUUCGAUGAUUCUUCCCACAGAGGCUGAGAGAGUGAGAAGGUUUGUUAAGGGGCAUAUUAUUCCGAUUCAUCUGAGAGUUUCUCAGGUUACUGCUUCUGGUGUUCCGUUCCAGAAAGUGGUAGAUGUUGCUAAGGAGUUGGAGAUGAUUCGACGUGAGGGAUUUGAGCAGCGUGAGGGCAAGAGGACCCGUUACUCAGGAUAUUAUGGUGGUGUUCUGCUUAGGAUUCCAGGUUAAUAGGGAGAGAUUAUCCCUCUCAGUCCAGCAGACCCAUUCAUGAUGCUAUACCAGCGUCUAAGGCUGGUUACGCUGGGCAUAGUUCUUCGAGCAGUAUAUACUUCACAGGGUUCAUCUUCUAGACCUGUAAUUUAUGGAGGGCAUUCUGGUCAUUCAGGUUCAGCUUGCAUCUCGUAGAGGUUGUUUUUAGUGUGGUGAUAUGGGACACCUUGUGAGAGACUGCCCUAGGACCAGAUGUGGUGACUUACAUCAAGGUUCCCAGGCUUCGACUUACAGGAUUGCACAACCUCCAGCUAGGGAUGGCGCAUAGAGUUGUAGAGGUGGUUCUCUUUUAGGUAGAGGUGGUUCUCGUUAUGGUCGAGGUGGUGGUCGUGGAGGUUCACAAUCUGAGGAAGGUUCUUCUCACUGUUAUGAUUUUCCGGGUAGGCCAAGAAUUAUCAAUACAAGGUAUCAGUCAUCUAUGAGAUGUUGUUAUCACAGGUACUAUUCUGAUUUGUCAUCUACCAGCUACAAUAUUAUUUGAUCAUGGCUCUACUUAUUCUUACGUGUCCACCUAUUUUACUUUUGAGUCUGGAUAUAUUAUGUGAGUCUCUUAAUUUGCUGAUACAUGUUUCUACUCUUGUCGGGGAUUCUGUAGUGGUAGACCGAGUAUAUCGAUUAUGUAUUGUUACCUUGAUGGGAUAUGACACUCAUGUGGAUUUAAAGGUCUUAGAUAUGGUAGAUGUUGAUGUGAUUCUUGGUAUGGAAUAGUUAUCUUCUUACCACGCAAUGUUAAAUUAUCAUGCCAAGACAAUUACUUUAGCUAUGCCUGGAAUUCCUAUAGUAGAAUGGAGAGGUUCUCUUAGUCACCCUCGUAAGGGUGUGAUAUCAUUUCUUAUGGCUCUCCAGUUGGUAGAGAGAGGAUGUUUGGCUUACUUACCACAUUCGAGAUACUAGUGUUGAGACUCAUAUGCUUGAGUUUAUUCCAGUGGUGAGUGAAUUUUGGGAGGUAUUUCUGACGGAUUUUCCGGGUCUUCCACCUGAUCGUGAUAUUGAUUUUUGUAUUGAUAUAGAUCCAGGCACUCAGCGUAUUUCCAUUCCUCCUUAUCGUAUGGCAUCGGCUGAAUUGAAGGAGUUGCGGGAUUUGUUCAGCAAGGGUUUUAUUAGAUCGGGUGUAUCUCCUUGGUGUACUCCAGUGUUAUUUGUGAAGAAGAAGAAGGAUGGAUCAAUGCAUAUGUGUAUUGACUAUUGACAGUUGAACAAGGUAACCAUCAUAAAUAAGUACCCGAUACCUCGUAUUGAUGAUUUAUUUGAUCAGUUGUAGGGUGCUUCAGUUUUCUCGAAGAUUGAUUUGAAAUAUAGCUAUCAUCAGCUGAAGGUUAGGGCGGAGGAUAUCUUAAGACACCUUUUCGAACACGUUAUGGCCAUUACAAGUUUUUGGUGAUGUCUUUCCGAUUGACUAACACCCCUGCAGCUUUUAUGGACUUGAUGAAUGGAGUGUUCAUACCAUAUUUUUAGAUUCCUUUGUUAUUAUCUUCAUAGAUGAUAAAUUGAUAUACUCACGCAGUAAGGGGGAACAUGAGCAUCAUUUGAGGAUUGUGCUUGGGAUUUUAAAGGAGAAGAAGUUUUAUGAAAAGUUUUCAAAGUGUGAGUUUUGUCCUAGUUCGGUAGCAUUCGUAGGACAUUUAGUGCCCAAGGAGGGUAUUAUGGUGGAUCUCAAGAAGAUUGAGGCAGUUAGAAAUUUAGACCUGCUUUAGUUACAGAGACUUGGAGUUUCUUUGGCCUUGUAGGUUACUUACUAUCAAUGGUUUGUAGAGGGUUUCUAAUCCAUUGCAUCUCCAUUAACUAUAUCAACAUACAAGGAGGUGACUUUCCAUUGAUCUGACAAGUGUGAGGCUAGUUUCCAAAAGCUCAAGACUUUAUUGAAUACUGCUCCAAUUUUGGCCCUACCCGUGGAGGGAAAGGGUUUUGUUGUACAUUGUGAUGUUUCUCCGGUUUGCUUGGUUUUGUAUUGAUGCAGAAAGGAAAGGUGAUAGCUUAUGCUUCAAGGAAGUUGAAGGUUCAUGAGAAGAACUACCCUAUUCAUGAUUUAGAGUUGGCGGUUAUUGUGUUUCCAUUAAUUAUUUGGAGGCAUUAUCUUUAUGGUGUGCAUUGUGAGGUGUUCAUGUAUCAUCAUAGUCUCCAGUAUAUAUUCAAUUAGAGGGAUCUCAAUUUGAGGCAUCAGAGGUGGUUAGAGUUUCUAAAGGACUACGACAUGACUAUUCUGUAUUAUCUAGGCAAGAAAAAUAUUGUAGCAAAUGCCUUGAGUCGAAAGGCAGUAAGUAUGGGUAGUAUAGCCAUGUUACAGGUUGGCGAGCGUCCUUUAGCAAGGGAUGUACGAUCCUUGGCCAUUAGCUUUGUGAGACUUGAUAUUUAAGAAUUUGGUAAGGUGUUGGCUUAUAUGGAGGCUAGGUCAUCCUUGUUGGAGCAAAAUCUUCUCAACAAUUUGAUGAUGGUAAUUUAUGUAAGAUUAGAGACAAAUUGUUAAAAGGAGAAGUCAAGGUGGCAAUUCUUGAUAGUGAGGGAGUUUUGAGGAUUAAAGGUCAUAUUUGUGCUCCUCGAAUAGGUUAUUUGACUAUAUUAAUCAUGGAAGAGGCCCAUAGUUCGAGGUACUCUAUUCAUCCAGGGGAUACUAAGACGUAUUGUGACUUGAAGCAGCAUUAUUGGUGGUGUUGUAUAAAGAGGGAUACAAUAGAUUUUGUAACCCGGUGUUUGAAUUGUCAGCAAGUGAAGUAUGAACACCAAAAGCCUUGAAGUAUGACUAAGAGGAUGCCUAUGCCUGAGUUGAAGUGGGAGCGUAUGGCUAUGGACUUUGUGGUAGGGUUUGCCACGUACAUUGAGUAAGCUUGAUGCUAUAUGGGUCAUUGUGGAUCGACUUACUAAGUCUUCACACUUUGUACCAGUUCAGACUAUCUAUAACUCAAAUAAGUUAGACAAGAUCUAUAUUCAAGAGAUAGUUCAUUUACAUUGGGUUCCUAUAUCUAUUAUUUCAUAUUGUGGCACCCAAUUCACAUCUCAUUUCUUGCGGUCUAUGCAGAAGGAGUUGGGCACUUAGAUGGAUCUCACUACAGCCUUUCACCCUCUGAUUGAUAGUCAGUCUGAACGGACUAUCCAGGUUCUUGAGAACAUGUUGCGAGCGCGUGUGAUUGACUUUAGUGGUCAAUAGGAUUAGUUCUUGCCAUUAGCGGAGUUUUCUUACAAUAAUAGUUACCAUUCGAGCAUUGAGAUGGCACUAUUUAAGGCCUUGUAUGGUAGGAUGUCGAUCUCCAAUUGGUUGGUUUGAUCCAUUUGAGGUUAGACCGUGGGGUAUGGAUUUAUUGAGGGGGUCCUUGGACAAGGUCAAAUUGAUCCAAUAUAGACUUCUCAGGACUCAAAGUAGGCAAAAGAGUUAUGUGGAUCGAAAGGUUCGUGAUUUGGAGUUUAUGGUUGGAGAAAGAAUUCUAUUGAAAGUUUCACCCAUGAAGGUGUGAUGAGAUUGAAGAAGAAUGACAAUUUGAGCCCAAAGUAUAUUGAACCUUUUGAGAUUGUGGAGCGUAUUGAUAAGGUGGAGUAUCAGUUAGCUUUGUCACCUGGUUUGUCAGGUGUACAUCCUGUAUUUCACAUUUCAAUGCUGAAGAAGUAUCAUCAAGGUGGUUCUCACGUGAUUCAAGGGGAUUCAGUGUUAGUUGAUCAUAAUUUGACUUUUGAGGAGGAGUCGAUUAUCAUUUUUGAUAGACAAGUUUGAAAGUUGAGGUUGAAAGAGAUUACUUGAGUAAAGGUUCAAUGGAAGCAUCGUCCAGUGGAGGAGGCUACAUGGGAGACCGAGUCAGACAUGAGGAGAAGAUAUCCUCAGCCUUUUGAGGUUUAGGUGAGUUCUUUUCUUUUUCUGUUCGAGGACGAACAUUUGUUUAAGUGGUAGGUGAUGUAACGACGCGCUAGGUCAUUUUGAGAACUAUGACUAUUUUGAUUCUUUCUGUAAAAUUUAAAUCAAAAACUUUGAAAUAUUCUAUGACUACGAGUAUUUAGUUGAGGAUUUUUUAUUAAAUAAUUAAUAUUGUUAAUAGUUGGUGGAAAAGUCCAUAAUUCCUUUAAUACCCCUUUAAUUUUGGCCCAUGUAAUUAAAAUAUGUUACUGCAGUCAGUUUAGAGAAGAAGGAAAAACAAAAGAGUUGGAAACUAAUUUGUGCGGCAUAGAAUACAGAGCGAAGAGGAAGGGAAAAAUAAAAACUUCAGGUAUAAAGUUUCGUUUAGUCGAUUAUAAUUUCUGCAUAAGUGCACAUAAGUAAUGUGAAUUGUUGGAGAUUGAUAAUGUAUUAUUUUGUUGUCACUUGGUAUUGAGAAGUUUGAGAAAAUUUAGAAUAUUUAUUAGGUUGAAUGAGAUGGUUGUUUACAUAAUAAUAAUUAGGAGGCAAUCAUUAGACUGUGAUUACAAGAAUAAAAAUCAAUGCAUAUUUUGGGUUUUGGUUUCCGUCUCGUAGUGUAGUGCAGAAUGGGUCUCUUUUAUUACAUUAAAAUAAUGAUUUCAAAUAAAUGGCCAUGGUUUAGUUUUUUAAAAAGAUUUAUAGAAUUAAAAAUGAUUUGCUAAGAAUCUUAGCCCAAUCAUUAGGUGAUCAUGCCAAUGAUUGUCAUUAGUAGAUACUUUUAGAAAAGUAGGCAUUUUUGGUGUAACGUUACAGACUCCCAAUGUUUUUCGUGGUGCUGUUAAUUAGUGGAAUUAAUUCUCAUUUUAAUUCUUUAUCAAAUUAAGAUAAUAGUUUUGAUAUAUUGAGAUAGGUAAUUAAUUAUUAGGUGUAUAUUAUAUGAUGUAACAUUGAAUUUUUGGGUAUAUUGGAGAGAUUAAGGUUAAUUUCUAGGCUUGAAAUUUAGCAACUAUGAUAAAUUUGGCAUAUAAAUUAUAUCAAGAUUUGGAGCUUGAUUAAAGAUAUGAUUGAGUUUUAGGGUCUAUGAUAGACAUAUAAUAAUUUGAAUGUCUACAAACUCGCUUACUUACGAAUGUUGCAUAAUUGGUAGACUGGAAACGUUCCAAAAUCUUGCGAAAGGGAAGGAACUAUCUUGAGGAUUCGUGGUACGAGUUUGGUAUUUUAAGGUAUGUUAAGACAUUUAGACUUGUUGAAGAAUAUUUUCCUAAUUAAUGAUUAAAAAAUGAAAUAGACAAGGGGAUAAGGGCGAGAUGGGGUUCUCGUGUCAAAGGUGUGACGGGCAUUGGUACGAGUACCGGUGUUAUAAAGGGAAAGUUAUUACUAUAGAAUGUGGAUUGAAAUUUGAGAAUACUAAAGCAUAUGGGCAUUAGCUGAAAUAUUAUUGACUUGAAUUUCUUGUGUGAUUGUGUUUUCUUUAUUACACCUGUAUAGUUGUGAUAAUUUAGGUGGUUAUGUAUUAUGUUGAUAUUUUACUGAUUGAGGUGUAUCCUCAACACCUUAAAUAAUAUUGUGUGCAUUCAUUGACUUGAGAAUGAGUAUAAGUUGGGCACGUGGAGAUCGUCUGUGCUGGGGAUGGUGAGAUGUAAAGAUUAUAAUUCGGGCACGUGGAGAUCGUUUUUGCGAAAAUUGUUUGAUUUUAUGAUAGUGCGAUGAGAUCGUCCACACAGACACGUGGAGAUCGUCCGUGUCAGUAUACGGACCUCGCGAGUCCUCUAUGGGUCAUGAACUGUCGAUGUAUUUCCAAGGAGUAUCAUGUAUAUACGUUUGAGAGAGUACUAUUUAUUCUGAGACAACAUUUCAUCGUAUAAUAUUGCAUUGCAUUUCAUCACAUCCUUCAUUCUUGGUGAUUAUGUGUUUUGGUGGUUGAAAAGUACUUGAUAUUUCAUACCUCUAUUUGAUGAAACUUUACUGGUAAGUAUAGAUAGACUUGUAUAGUUAAUGAAAUAAUUUUUCUUAUAUAAACUCCCAUCACUACUUCUUCGUAGUCGGUCUAUGAGAUAUAUUGAAUACACAAAAUUUCGUACUCAUACUAUACUUGUUACACUCUUUGUGGUGCAUAUUUGAUUUCGAGUACAAGCACAUCUCGUGGAGCUAUUCGAGUCCGAAUUUAAAGUAUUUUGGAGUUGAGGGUCUGACGCACCUGUUUUGCAUCUCCAUGGCUAGAGAUCACUUAGUCGAUAUUAAAUAUUGGGUCUGACGCUCCUACCUCUCAUACUUGUGGCUAGUGAUCCAUAUAAACAUUGAAGAUUGGUGAGUCCUCAUGUUUCGAGGAUCAAAAUUUGUCUAUGCUUUCAUGUAUUUUCAUUUUAUAUUUUGUAUGCAAAGUAUGAGUUAUGUCUCAAUAUUUUUCUUAUGAUGUAAUAGAUGAGUUUGAUACUUGUGAUAGACUUUCACUAUAUAUUUUGUCAAACUCUUUGAUAUAUGAA
Molecule: long non-coding RNA, 8158 nt
Organism: Solanum lycopersicum (tomato)
Lineage: Eukaryota; Viridiplantae; Streptophyta; Magnoliopsida; Solanales; Solanaceae
Source: RefSeq, a predicted model, not a curated record